GAUGAACGCUAGCGGCAUGCCUAAUACAUGCAAAUCGAACGAAGCCUUUUGGCUUAGUGGUGAACGGGUGAGUAACACGUAUCCAAUCUACCCUUAGGUUUGAGAUAACUAGUCGAAAGAUUAGCUAAUACCGGAUAAUAGCAUUCACUUGCAUGAGUGAAUGUGGAAAGUUGCGUUUGCAACGCUUUUGGAUGAGGGUGCGACGUAUCAGAUAGUUGGUGAGGUAACGGCUCACCAAGUCAUUGACGCGUAGCUGUACUGAGAGGUAGAACAGCCACAAUGGGACUGAGACACGGCCCAU
This 301-nucleotide ribosomal RNA is filed under the name uncultured bacterium. RNAcentral's name for it is "bacterial SSU rRNA". It matches the Rfam family "Bacterial small subunit ribosomal RNA", at positions 28 to 334 of the family's 1533-position model. The record is from RNAcentral.